UAAUACAGAGGGCGCAAGCGUUGUUCGGAAUUACUGGGCGUAAAGCGCGCGCAGGCGGAACGGUAAAGUCCGGAGUGAAAUCUCGCCGCUCAACGGCGAGGCUGCUUUGGAUACUGACGAUCUAGGGACCGGUAGAGGCUGGUAGAAUUGCAGGUGUAGCGGUGGAAUGCGUAGAGAUCUGCAAGAAUACCCGUG
This 195-nucleotide ribosomal RNA is filed under the name uncultured bacterium. RNAcentral describes it as "partial 16S ribosomal RNA". It matches the Rfam family "Bacterial small subunit ribosomal RNA", at positions 521 to 714 of the family's 1533-position model. The record is from RNAcentral.